GAUGAACGCUGGCGGCGUGCCUAAUACAUGCAAGUCGAGCGAACAGAUGAGGAGCUUGCUCCUCUGACGUUAGCGGCGGACGGGUGAGUAACACGUGGAUAACCUACCUAUAAGACUGGGAUAACUUCGGGAAACCGGAGCUAAUACCGGAUAAUAUAUUGAACCGCAUGGUUCAAUAGUGAAAGACGGUUUUGCUGUCACUUAUAGAUGGAUCCGCGCCGCAUUAGCUAGUUGGUAAGGUAACGGCUUACCAAGGCAACGAUGCGUAGCCGACCUGAGAGGGUGGUCGGCCACACUGGAACUGAGACACGGUCCAGACUCCUACGGGAGGACGCAGUAGGGAAUCUUCCGCGAUGGGCGAAAGCCUGACGGAGCAACGCCGCGUGAGUGAUGAAGGUCUUCGGAUCGUAAAACUCUGUUAUUAGGGAAGAACAAAUGUGUAAGUAACUAUGCACGUCUUGACGGUACCUAAUCAGAAAGCCACGGCUAACUACGUG
RNAcentral lists this ribosomal RNA (497 nucleotides) under uncultured bacterium. RNAcentral describes it as "partial 16S ribosomal RNA". It matches the Rfam family "Bacterial small subunit ribosomal RNA", at positions 28 to 507 of the family's 1533-position model. The record is from RNAcentral.